Molecule: ribosomal RNA, 639 nt
Filed under: Triticum aestivum (bread wheat)
Lineage: Eukaryota; Viridiplantae; Streptophyta; Magnoliopsida; Poales; Poaceae
Description: partial small subunit ribosomal RNA
Source: RNAcentral
AUGAGCGUGACCAAGUUCAUCAAGUGCGUCACGGUGGGGGACGGCGCCGUCGGCAAGACCUGCAUGCUCAUCUGCUACACCAGCAACAGGUUCCCCAGCGAUUACAUCCCCACCGUGUUCGACAACUUCAGCGCCAACGUCUCCGUCGACGGCAACAUCGUCAACCUCGGCCUGUGGGACACCGCCGGGCAAGAGGACUACAGCAGGCUGAGGCCGCUGAGCUACAGAGGCGCCGACGUCUUCGUGCUCGCCUUCUCCCUCAUCAGCAGCGCAAGCUACGAGAAUGUCCUCAAGAAGUGGAUGCCAGAGCUCCGCCGGUUCGCGCCCAACGUCCCCAUUGUUCUAGUUGGGACCAAGCUAGAUCUGCGUGACCACAGAGCCUACCUCGCCGACCAUCCCGGUGCCUCGGCAAUCACAACCGCACAGGGUGAAGAACUCAGGAAGCAGAUCGGCGCCGCAGCGUACAUCGAGUGUAGCUCAAAGACACAGCAGAACGUCAAGGCUGUCUUCGACACCGCCAUCAAGGUGGUCCUUCAGCCGCCGAGGAGGAGGGAGGUGAUGGCGGCCAGGAAGAAAACUAGGCGAAGCUCUGGAUGCUCCAUCAUGCACUUGAUGUGUGGCAGCACGUGUGCUGCCUGA